This 468-nucleotide ribosomal RNA is filed under the name uncultured bacterium. RNAcentral describes it as "partial 16S ribosomal RNA". It matches the Rfam family "Bacterial small subunit ribosomal RNA", at positions 28 to 507 of the family's 1533-position model. The record is from RNAcentral.
GAGGAAAGAGGGAGGAGGGAUGAACACAUGCAAGUCGAACGGAAAGGCCCUGCUUUUGUGGGGUGCUCGAGUGGCGAACGGGUGAGUAACACGUGAGUAACCUGCCCUUGACUUUGGGAUAACUUCAGGAAACUGGGGCUAAUACCGGAUAGGAGCUCCUGCUGCAUGUUGGGGGUUUUAAAUUUUCGGCGUUUUUUGAUGGACUCUCUUCUUAUCGUCUUGUUUUUUUGUUAUUGGCUUACCAAGGCUUUGACGGGUAGCCGGCCUGAGAGGGUGACCGGCCACAUUGGGACUGAGAUACGGACCAGACUCCUACGGGAGGCAGCAGUGGGGAAUAUUGCACAAUGGGCGGAAGCCUGAUGCAGCAACGCCGCGUGCGGGAUGACGGCCUUCGGGUUGUAAACCGCUUUCGCCUGUGACGAAGAGUGAGUGACGGUAAUGGGUAAAGAAGCACCGGCUAACUAAGUG